RNAcentral lists this long non-coding RNA (840 nucleotides) under Homo sapiens (human). RNAcentral's name for it is "MIR7-3 host gene". The record is from RNAcentral. Lineage: Eukaryota; Metazoa; Chordata; Mammalia; Primates; Hominidae.
ACGGGACACCUGCAUCUGCCAACAAGACUGGAAGCAGAAAGGGACAGAGACGGCGAAGUUUGACGGUCUGGAAAGCAGAGACCAGCAGGGCUGACUGCUUGGGAGCACCAAAUAUCCGGACAGCGCCUCUCGGGAGGUCCGAGAAGAGAACCGCGAUCUGUUUCAGCACCGGGGCUCAGGACAGUUCCCAGCGGGCUCCGUUUCGUCUCCAGAACCCUGGACAGCUCCUCCAGACUUCGGUGAGAAACCUUGUGCCAAGCAUUUUACAUACAUCAUAUCAUGCCAUCUUCAACCCUAGGACAUGGGUGUUACUGUGCCCAUGUGACAUUUGGGGAACCCAAGGCCCUGAGAAAGGCAGAAAAAUAACCCACGCAGGGACUCUCAGCCCACAAGUGAAGCUAACCGGGAAUGGAAAACAGGGAGGCAGCACAGAGGCAGGAAACUCAGGUGUCAUAGCUUGGCUCAGCUUGGAAUGCACUCCCUCCACCUCCAACCAGAGCUCCCCACAACUGACCCUGCCUUCUUCUGCAAGCUCCAUUUCAUCAAGGGAAACGAUCCUUAUUGCCUCACCAUUUCCCACGUGAAGUCUGUAUUGACAUUCUCAUAGACCUGGGAUAUUGUGUCUGCAGCACAUAGUCCAAUUAUUUUCAUGUUAUCUACUGACAGGUCUAUUUGUCUCCCUGUUACACUGUGAGCUCCGUGAGGGCAGAAACAAUGUUAGUAUUUUCACUGCUGUGUCCCCAGCGCCUGGUCCGGGGCCCGGCACACAGCAGGCAUAUAAUAAGCAUGUGUUGAAUCAAUAAAGGCAUCAAAGAAUAAACCAAUACAUCAAUCAAUAAA